UUAUGUCCAGGGCUACACACGUGCGUACAAUGGCCGGUACAAAGGGGCGCAAGACCGCGAGGUGGAGCAAAUCCCAAAAACCGGUCUCAGUUCGGAUUGGAGUCUGCAACCUCGACUCCAUGAAGUUGGAAUCGCUAGUAAUCGCGUAUCAGCAUGACGCGGUGAAUACGUUCCCGGGCCUU
Molecule: ribosomal RNA, 182 nt
Filed under: uncultured Desulfuromonas sp.
Lineage: Bacteria; Pseudomonadati; Thermodesulfobacteriota; Desulfuromonadia; Desulfuromonadales; Desulfuromonadaceae
Description: partial 16S ribosomal RNA
Rfam family: Bacterial small subunit ribosomal RNA
Source: RNAcentral